AGGUCAAUUCCGUCAAGUUUGACAGCGAGUGACCUGUGUCAUCUUUAGCAAAGGAAGGGUGACUUUGGGAGGCUGGCACUCACCUCCAAUGGACCCAGAAACUCAGUGUUAUUAGGAGAGAGUUGUGGCACGGACAGUUUGAAGCAGGUUCUUUGACACUGCAGUCUAUAGUCCUUCCAUGCUCCUGCUUCUGGACAGAGUGUGAUCUCCAUCAAGGCAGGAAGUGAAUGAGCAGAGAUCCCUGGGCCAAGGGAGUAAAUUAUAAAGCCGUAAGAUUUGACCAUUGGCAGAGCUCAGCCAGAGUGAGGGAAGGGAGAAGAGCACCCUGGCUAACCUGGUGAGAACAGACACGGAGCCUCCCUGGUUUGGUUUCCAUGGUCACCUGGUAACCUGCUAAAAGUGGGUGCCUGUGGCA
RNAcentral lists this long non-coding RNA (415 nucleotides) under Rattus norvegicus (Norway rat). Its description in RNAcentral is "long non-coding RNA NONRATT001788". The record is from RNAcentral. Lineage: Eukaryota; Metazoa; Chordata; Mammalia; Rodentia; Muridae.